RNAcentral lists this small nuclear RNA (107 nucleotides) under Bombus terrestris (buff-tailed bumblebee). The record is from RNAcentral. Lineage: Eukaryota; Metazoa; Arthropoda; Insecta; Hymenoptera; Apidae.
GUACUUGCUUCGGCAGUACAUUUACUAAAAUUGGAACGAUAUAGAGAAGAUUAGCAUGGCCCCUGCGCAAGGAUGACACGCAAAAUCGUGAAGCGUUCCACAUUUUU